GACGAACGCUGGCGGCGUGCUUAACACAUGCAAGUCGAACGAAGAGCGAUGGACGCUUGCUUCUAUCAAUCUUAGUGGCGAACGGGUGAGUAACGCGUAAUCAACCUGCCCUUCAGAGGGGGACAACAGUUGGAAACGACUGCUAAUACCGCAUACGAUCUGACCUCGGCAUCGAGGAUAGAUGAAAGGUGGCCUCUAUUUAUAAGCUAUCACUGAAGGAGGGGAUUGCGUCUGAUUAGCUAGUUGGAGGGGUAACGGCCCACCAAGGCGAUGAUCAGUAGCCGGUCUGAGAGGAUGAACGGCCACAUUGGGACUGAGACACGGCCCAGACUCCUACGGGAGGCAGCAGUGGGGAAUCGUCCGCAAUGGACGAAAGUCUGACGGAGAAACGCCGCGUGAGUGAUGACGGCCUUCGGGUUGGAAAGCUCUGUUAAUCGGGACGAAAGGCCUUCUUGCGAAUAGUUAGAAGGAUUGACGGUACCGGAAUAGAAAGCCACGGCUAACUACGUG
RNAcentral lists this ribosomal RNA (510 nucleotides) under uncultured bacterium. RNAcentral's name for it is "partial 16S ribosomal RNA". It matches the Rfam family "Bacterial small subunit ribosomal RNA", at positions 28 to 507 of the family's 1533-position model. The record is from RNAcentral.